CAAAUACAACAACUCAGCCCAAAAUAUCUAGCCCAGAAAUAUGACACCCACAAGGCUUAACAAAAUAUAUUAGAAUACCAACAUCAUCAUGAUAACAGAACAAAAUAAUAUAACUUGAUACCGAAGAAUAUACAAGGAAAUGAGAAAGGAAUAAAUUCUAUGACAUAUAUGAAAAUGCAAUACAAGAAAACAAGUAAUAUUUCCUUCCAUCCCACACUUAAAUCAUUGCAUUGUUCACAAUGUUCAAAAUAAUUCAAAACAAAAACAAAAAAAAAAGAGACAAAAUCAUGACUCCCUGGUCCAUUCUUGCUCCAUGUUGGAGUCCUCCUUUUUUCAACUUUCCUCUCCAUCAAUAU
Molecule: long non-coding RNA, 356 nt
Filed under: Solanum tuberosum (potato)
Lineage: Eukaryota; Viridiplantae; Streptophyta; Magnoliopsida; Solanales; Solanaceae
Description: long non-coding RNA (STUB_LNC006406)
Source: RNAcentral